GACGUUUAGCUGCAGAAGAAGCACCGGCUAACUCCGUGCCAGCAGCCGCGGUAAUACGGAGGGUGCGAGCGUUAAUCGGAAUUACUGGGCGUAAAGCGCAUGCAGGUGGUUUGUUAAGUCAGAUGUGAAAGCCCGGGGCUCAACCUCGGAAUUGCAUUUUGAAAACUGGCAAACUAGAGUACUGUAGAGGGGGUAGAAUUUCAGGUGUAGCGGUGAAAUGCGUAGAGAUCUGAAGGAAUACCGGUGGCGAAGGCGGCCCCCUGGACAGAUACUGACACUCAGAUGCGAAAGCGUGGGGAGCAAACAGGAUUAGAUACCCUGGUAG
Molecule: ribosomal RNA, 325 nt
Filed under: uncultured bacterium
Lineage: Bacteria
Description: bacterial SSU rRNA
Rfam family: Bacterial small subunit ribosomal RNA
Source: RNAcentral